RNAcentral lists this ribosomal RNA (520 nucleotides) under uncultured Glomus. RNAcentral's name for it is "SSU rRNA". It matches the Rfam family "Eukaryotic small subunit ribosomal RNA", at positions 569 to 1091 of the family's 1831-position model. The record is from RNAcentral. Lineage: Eukaryota; Fungi; Glomeromycota; Glomeromycetes; Glomerales; Glomeraceae.
AGCAGCCGCGGUAAUUCCAGCUCCAAUAGCGUAUAUUAAAGUUGCUGCAGUUAAAAAGCUCGUAGUUGAAUUUCGGGACUAAUAUGUCGGUCGUGCCUCGGUACGUACUGGUAUUUUUGGUUUCUCCCUUCUGACGAACCUUGAUGUCAUUAAUUUGGUGUCUUGGGAAAUCAGGACUGUUACUUUGAAAAAAUUAGAGUGUUUAAAGCAGGCUCACGCUUGAAUACAUUAGCAUGGAAUAAUGAAAUAGGACGUUUGAUUCUAUUUUGUUGGUUUCUAGGAUCGACGUAAUGAUUAAUAGGGAUAGUUGGGGGCAUUAGUAUUCAAUUGUCAGAGGUGAAAUUCUUGGAUUUAUUGAAGACUAACUACUGCGAAAGCAUUUGCCAAGGAUGUUUUCAUUAAUCAAGAACGAAAGUUAGGGGAUCGAAGACGAUCAGAUACCGUCGUAGUCUUAACCAUAAACUAUGCCGACUAGGGAUCGGAUGAUGUUAAUUUUUUAAUGACUCAUUCGGCGCCUUAC